GAUGAACGCUGACAGAAUGCUUAACACAUGCAAGUCAACUUGAAUUUGGGUUUUUAACUUAGGUUUGGGUGGCGGACGGGUGAGUAACGCGUAAAGAACUUGCCUCACAGCUAGGGACAACAUUUGGAAACGAAUGCUAAUACCUAAUAUUAUGAUAAUAGGGCAUCCUAUAAUUAUGAAAGCUAUAAGCGCUGUGAGAGAGCUUUGCGUCCCAUUAGCUAGUUGGAGAGGUAACGGCUCACCAAGGCGAUGAUGGGUAGCCGGUCUGAGAGGGUGAUCGGCCACAAGGGGACUGAGACACGGCCCUUACUCCGACGGGAGGCAGCAGUGGGGAAUAUGGGACAAUGGACCGAGAGUCUGAUCCAGCAAUUCUGUGUGCACGAUGAAGUUUUUCGGAAUGUAAAGUGCUUUCAGUUGGGAAGAAACAAAUGACGGUACCAACAGAAGAAGUGACGGCUAAAUACGUG
RNAcentral lists this ribosomal RNA (467 nucleotides) under uncultured bacterium. RNAcentral describes it as "partial 16S ribosomal RNA". It matches the Rfam family "Bacterial small subunit ribosomal RNA", at positions 28 to 507 of the family's 1533-position model. The record is from RNAcentral.